Molecule: long non-coding RNA, 1336 nt
Filed under: Triticum aestivum (bread wheat)
Lineage: Eukaryota; Viridiplantae; Streptophyta; Magnoliopsida; Poales; Poaceae
Description: long non-coding RNA (TAES_LNC008465)
Source: RNAcentral
CCUCCGGGGCCUUUGAUAUCUCAGGUUAGCUCAAAAUGUUAUGUUUCUUCUUGGGUUAUAAUAUAUUAAUAUUUGCUGAUUCUUCACUAGACUCCUUUGUUCUUGCAGGGUGUGUGUCAUGUUAUGUUGGGUUUCCUGUGAUUUCGGUGCGGGUAGCUACAUAGCGUCCGUGGGCCAUGCGUGUGACAUGCAUGCUAGGUAAUCUUGACUCCGGUGCAACGGUGCUGGAACCGCCUCUGCUGGUUACGACCGCCGUGGCUAUGCUUGAAGGCAGAAUCACCACGAUGACUGUAGUGGCCGCACUCAGAUCAGAACGGCAGCCAAGGUAUAUGAUCAAGCCUUUACUGUCGUCCUUUGAAUUUGGGAUCACGUGCAUCUGCAAGAGAAAGAGCAUGAGAGCCUAAGAGGGUAGUACCACAUUACGAACAAGUUGUUUUUUAUCCAUGGAAUUGAUCUGAUGCGAAGCUGAUGCCACAUAAAAGGUUAACUGAGUUCUUAUCUCCAAUAUGUCGUGAUGUUACAGUUCAAUUAUUUUCACCUCUCUAGCCACUAUGCACGGAAGGUGUUUGCUAAUUUGCACAAUGAUAUUUUCUGGUAAAAUACAUUAAUAUUACCUACAUUUUUUCACGUUUUAGUGAUGUCCUCUUAUUAAUCCCUUCUAUAAUCAAAUCUGAUAUGUAUUUGUUCAUCUAGGCAUCUAGCUGCAGGUGGAAUAACAAGAUUCAGUGUGUGCAACAACAACAAUAAAUAACAUGUCAUUAGGGAGACUUCUGACAAUUGAACCCUGCAUUUUUUUGGCAUUAGUACAACUGUUCUACUGCAUUAUUCAACUAUGCACGAUGAAGCUGAUAUAGGGUGUGGACUAGACAAUUUAUUCAGUUUUCUUCAAGAAGGUAUGCAGAUUGGGCAUCAAAGUAGACGACAAAGGAUGACAUUCUGCACCUUACAACUUAAAAUUUGAAAGAUACUUUCUAUUUUAUAUUGAUGUGAUCGCCAGCGAGAACAAAUUUUUGACUGAAUUUGUUUCAUUAAAGUGAAGUUGUUUGGACUUUUCUUUGAAUGUUUCUUUUAGUUGCGUAAAAAGGCAUUGUGGGUAAUGUUUUUUUGAGCUGAUUAUGAGUAGUGUUUGGUUCGAUGCAGGACCAAGGAAUGAACACGAAGCAAAUUAUAACUCUCAGGUUCAUGGUUUAGGAGCAGGAAAGAACACUUCCAAUUGUGUAGAUGGGUCAUCCGUAGCAUUUCUCUAAUUAUCCUUAUAGAGACUGAUUUGGAUUGUUGAAGGAAAGGAUCUCAAUUCUCAAUAGCAAACUGCACUGGGACAUCUUGGACCUAUUCU